This 1145-nucleotide long non-coding RNA is filed under the name Astyanax mexicanus (Mexican tetra). RNAcentral's name for it is "lncRNA (ENSAMXG00005000189.1)". Lineage: Eukaryota; Metazoa; Chordata; Actinopteri; Characiformes; Acestrorhamphidae. The record is from RNAcentral.
UUCUGUAUAAUGAUGUACAAUGCUCUAUAAUGCUCUAUAAUGCUGUAUAAUGUUUAUAUGAUCCACAACAAGCUAAUUCUAAAAGACUGUAAUACACUACAGGAAGCGUAGGGAGUGCUGUAUAAUGCUGUAUAAUGCUUUAUUAUUCUGUAUAAUGAUGUACAAUGCUCUAUAAUGCUCUAUAAUGCUGUAUAAUGUUUAUAUGAUCCACAACAAGCUAAUUCUAAAAGACUGUAAUACACUACAGGAAGCGUAGGGAGUGCUGUAUAAUGCUGUAUAAUGCUUUAUUAUUCUGUAUAAUGAUGUACAAUGCUCUAUAAUGCUCUAUAAUGCUGUAUAAUGUUUAUAUGAUCCACAACAAGCUAAUUCUAAAAGACUGUAAUACACUACAGGAAGCGUAGGGAGUGCUGUAUAAUGCUGUAUAAUGCUUUAUUAUUCUGUAUAAUGAUGUACAAUGCUCUAUAAUGCUCUAUAAUGCUGUAUAAUGUUUAUAUGAUCCACAACAAGCUAAUUCUAAAAGACUGUAAUACACUACAGGAAGCGUAGGGAGUGCUGUAUAAUGCUGUAUAAUGCUGUAUAAUGCUCUAUAAUGCUGUAUAAUGCUCUAUAGUGCUGUAUAAUGCUCUAUAAUGCUCUGUAAUGCUGUGUAAUGUUGUAACAGGCCUCGGUGGUUGAGCUGCUGGAGCGUCUGGAGGUUCUGCCGGUUCUGGAGUCUCUGGACGUGUCCGGCUGGUCUGGGAUCAGUGAUGGGGUGCUGGAGGUGUUUGUGGAGGCUCGGCGGGGGAUGAGGUUUCUGGGUCUGUUGGCCACCGGAGCUGGAGCCUCCGACUUCCUGUCUGGAGAAGGAAAUCUGAAGGUAGCUGGAGAGUAUAAUAUAACUCAGUGUAACGAGGCUCUGAGGAGGUACAGGGAGAGGGAGGUCCUCCUGCAGAGGGCGCUGCUCCACCUCCACAACCUCACCAACCAGCAGGACAUCGGACCUCAACCCCACACUCUACAGGUCAGAUUAUCACAUAGGAACUUAUCCUGUACAACAGAGGAAGCUCUCGCUCUUCCUUUCCUAGAAUGGUCCUGAUUAGUGCCAGUUCCAUCAUCAUAACGUUUAACAGGCACAGCUGUUAACUGAAAGCCUGAAUUCCAGGUGA